CCCUCCCUCUCCCCAACCCGACCCGCCUCCCUCCUCUGCACCUUCACCACCGGCCAUGUCCGCCCCCACCGGCCAUCCCCUCCCAUGGGAGAGACUAGCCGCCUCCUCCCGCACUCGUGCGAUCCCAGCCCCCAUCCCUAACCUAGCUCCUCCUCCCGCUCACGCCGCCUCCUCCUCCCCACCCGCGCCUCCCUCUCCUUCUUCCCUGCUGCCACCCAGCCUCCUCCCUUCACGGCCUCCUCCUUCCACCCCUCCGAUCUGAGAAAAGGAGAAGAAGGGGUUGGAUGAGCAAGAAGCAGAAGGACUAGAACAAGAAGAAGGGAAGGGAGGUGGGGCCAUAUGCAUGUCCAUGGAGCAGAGCAGGCGAGGAGGGAGACUAGGUCGCGCUCUCUCUGCCUUUGUCUCGCGUGGGGAGGAGUGGAGGCUGCGGCUCGCACUUCUUCUCCUUUGUGGACUGCAGAAUGGACGGGCGAGACGCUGCUCCUCUUGUCACGCGAGGGUGACAGUCUGGUCCCGUCCAGGUUAACCCACCAGGAAGAUGUACUCCUCUUUGGCGUAAUGGGACACCAGACAAGCCAGUUCUCUGCAAUGCAUGUGGUUCGAGAUGGAGGAUAAAGGGUACAUUGGUGAAUUACACACCGGCGCAUCGUCGGGAAGAUACUGACGCUGGCGAAGCUGGACCUGACAAGCUGAAGCUCAAUGGACAGAAACAGCCGAAGAAACGACCAAACUGCACUACUGCAGCAUAGUGAAGGAUGAACCACGGUCUGAUCAGAGCUUCUGGAAGAUAGGAAAUGCGGACACAAGCAAUAGAUUCUGUUUUGGAUCAGUGGUGUCAUAUUCAGAGAGUUGUGCCCCGUAUGGUUCUAUUGAUGCAAGUGAAAUAGCCGAAAUUAGAAGAGUGAGUGAUGGUUUGUACAAAUGUUUACGGUAUCCUGUCAAUGAGGGAAUGAGGGCAUGUAAAUUGGCGCUUAUCCCUCGGCCGAUCUGUUUUUGCUCGAUGUGCGAGCAGCCCGUGCACCCAAAAUCGACCCAUGACGAUUCAAAAUCUUAUCCAAAGGCAGCAGCCGGAGGAUGGAAACACGGAAGCAGUAUUGUAAUGCUCUAUUGAAAGGUGUAUGUUGAGCUCUGAAGGCAAGCACGACCAUCACACUUUUGCUCCUGUGGUAGGCAUGUAGGCAUGUCGUUUGACUCUUGCCAAGAAGCGUAUGAGCAGUACAACCUGUUUGCUUGGGAAAAUGGUUUUGGUAUUCGUCAGGGAAAAUCUAGAUGGGGCGAAGGAUGAUACCAGCUGAUGAACGAAAUCGCCUAUCAGUGUCAGGUACUAAUCGAUUUGUACUCAUGCGUAGUGAUUACUUAAAGGAAUCUAUGAGUUCCUGCAAGAUGCAUCUCCAGCAUUUCUUGUGCAGAUAAGUUCCUACUCAUAUUUCCCCCUUGCAUAGCAAUCGACUUAUUUUAGGAACAUUAAUAUCAUUCAUUGGCCUAUGAAUUUCUCACAUAAUUUCCUGCUUUACUGUUCUGGUGAACAUCCUUUUUAAAUAUUUUUGUUUCUUGAUACCUCGAAACAGUAGUUUAAAUUCUUUUCCACGAAUCUGCGUGUUGCUGUCUUGGUGAUGGUAAUUAGUCAUGGAUAGUUGCCAUUCUGAAGUUCCUUGGUUCAGAUAUGUGCGGUUUGGCAAUGAUUUUGCCUGUUCUUUUUUCUGUUCAAAUAUAUACCAUUUGGCAAUGACUAGAUUCAAAGAUACUGGCCAGUCCUAUGUAAUGGUACAAGCGCCAUUUGCAGGCACUCGAGGUAUGAGUGACAUGCCCCCCUCACCUUUGACGUCCCAGCACGCUCCGUCGCAUUUUCUGCCUUUUGGUUAGCAUAAUGGUGCUCUUCUUAGGACAGGAUUGGUACCAGAAAGAUUGUUUUUUGCAGCAUUAUUCUGCAAUGUGCUCAAUUUAUUUGGAACUGGGUGAGUAGAUGAAGUGAUUCGGCUUAGCCUCCUCCAGCUAAUUUAGGUGUUGGCCAUCCAUUAUUAGAUUGUACGAAUGGAAUAGAAGUAAUCUUUGUGAAGUCUUAGCUUUGCCCGGUUCAUUCGGCACCCUUGGAUGCAAGGAUUUUUCCAAAUUCAUGAUACUAUAUCCUCUGAAAUUGACUUUCGAAAGUAGAGCUCUGUAUUACGGGUGUUGGCUGAUGCCCCGAUGCAUAUUUUUGGUUGUGCCCUCAGUUGGUCAAUUAUUUUUAGGACAUUGUGAGGGGAAUGUGUGGGCACUCGUAGACAUCCCAAACUUUUGCAACAAGCCAAGCAAGAAUUGAAAUAUGAAUGGGCUGCCACAAGUAAUUAGAUACGAAUGAAUGCUUCUUGCUUGAUUAGAUUUGUUGACGAGGAAUAGGACUCAACUCACGCCACUUCCAUUCAUCUCGUGCUGCAUAUAUACAGUUUACAGGAGCAGUUCAGAGAGAACGUGUGAGAGCCACUAGCUCCACUAACCCACGAUGCAAAGCAUGUCUCAGAGAGAGAGAGAGAGAGAGAGAGAUCAUGCGGUGACUACGCAUACAUACACACACCAGUACGUAUUCUGCUAACAAGAUUGAUACAUCUCCUCUCCUUAUAUAGAGAGGUUUACUUGACUCCUAAGCAAGCGACCCUUAUCUCUAAUUAAUCCUAAUCCUCCUAAUAAGAUAAUUGGGCUAAGCCCCUAAUAACGAUAAGAUAACUUGGGCCACAACUCACUGGGCUAAGCCCCUAAUAUGCCGGUCAUAACAGUUAGUGAAUCAUGGUUCUGAUUGUGCACCUUUUUUGGCUUAGAAAAAUAUAGCAAUUUAUGGUUACUUCUUAAGUUUGGUUAUCUCAAUUGGGUGUCCUUGCUGCGUUAUGGUCUGACCGUGUGUGUGUGUGUGUGUGUGUGUGUGCACGCGCGCGCUCAUGAAGCUUCUGUUCUCCAUGGAUGAACCUCAACAGGCAACAGCAAGCCAUCUCAAGGGAGGGGAUUCUCAAGUCACCCCACUUCCAAUCCAUCGAUGCCAUCCACAAGGACCAAGAUGACGAUGACCAGGAAGGAAGGAGCCCACGCCCGACCCCUACGACGAUGGUUCUGUUUGUGCGCCAGCGACGACCACAACCUCCCUCUCCGCCACAGGACGCUACAGGGUUAAAGGAUAGUUUUCAUCAAGAAUAUGCGCAUUGAGAUCCACACACACGUCAGUAAAUCAAGAAACUACAUAUGUUCCUAUCUGGAGGCACCCAUUGUACUGCAAGCAAGACACUGAGUUUGGUUUCAGGUUCCUCUCAAAAGAUAUCAGAUAAAGCCGAGGACAAUUAGAGAGUUCCAUGUCAUUUAUCCAAAUGAAGAUGAUAAUGAGAAAUUCCAACAUUAUGCUUUCCCGUUGAAUAUAGCCAAAGAAGCAAAUUCUAGCAGAGAAGCAAAUUUUGUAGAUUGAAGAACUUUAGGUUGACAAGCCUGCAAAAGCAUGUGUUAAUUGUGUUCUUGAAGCCGCCGGCGAUCUGUCCAUGGACACGGACCUGGGCUGUCGCGGCUUCACCCACACCGAGUGCCUUCCCAAUACGUACGACCAACCAACACAAAGAUGACACAGAUUGGUUAUGCAGGAUCUCUUGGUAAUGAAACUCUUCCCUUGGCUGUACCUAAUCUUGUAUGUUCCAUUAUUUUACCUUUUGAGUGGAUUGCUAUAUGGAAUACCAUCUAUUUCUAAUGAAUUUAUAUGUUGCUUGCUGCCUUUUUUAAUUAGAUAGAUCCAAUAACUAUACCAAUGAAUAGAUUUUUUUUGUGACUGAUAUAUAAUUCAGUGAUAUAAAUGCUAUAUAUUUUGUAUCUGAUAUGCAAGGUUACCUGAAUCUCCUCGCAUAUUUUUUUUGUGUUCGUUUAUUUAUAUGGAAAAUAGCCUACUUAGUCAAUUUUGGUUUAGCCCUGUAUGUGGUUUGCUUACUCAAUAUUGACCUCAGUGUCACUAUGCCUGCUUCCGAAACUCUAGCACUGAAAUAUAUGCUCUGUUACUCUUAAUCAAGAUGCUUUUGUACCAACUUUAUGCCAUGCUGCACUUACUCGGGCUAAAUCCUUGUGCUUUAUCAUGAGGACAACAAUAGUGGUUACUUCUCAUCUGAGCUUGAGCUGUGGUGAAUGCGACCGAUGUUUCGACCGCAUACGAAGAUGUAGUUCUUUUGGUUUAUCAGCCAAUAUGAUCGUAUAUAGACGGGAUGCCUGUACAGAGGCGUUUUGAAUUAGUAUGGUAGCAGACUAUCCUAUCCUUAUUGUAAAUUAUGUGUGAUCAUCGCUAUGAGACACUCCUUUGGAUGGAUUUACCAUUCCAUGGUUAUUGUAAAUUAUGAAUGAAUUAUUCUGUAGUUUUAGUAUUGGUUCUCUAA
This is an RNA transcript of Triticum aestivum (bread wheat), 4367 nucleotides long. RefSeq lists it as uncharacterized. The record is from RefSeq and is a predicted model, not a curated record. Lineage: Eukaryota; Viridiplantae; Streptophyta; Magnoliopsida; Poales; Poaceae. The transcript is spliced from 11 exons.